RNAcentral lists this ribosomal RNA (312 nucleotides) under Catonella sp. Its description in RNAcentral is "bacterial LSU rRNA". It matches the Rfam family "Bacterial large subunit ribosomal RNA", at positions 2614 to 2925 of the family's 2925-position model. The record is from RNAcentral. Lineage: Bacteria; Bacillati; Bacillota; Clostridia; Lachnospirales; Lachnospiraceae.
GAACGUCGUGAGACAGUUCGGUCCCUAUCCGUCGCGGGCGUAGGAAAUUUGAGAAGAGCUAUCCUUAGUACGAGAGGACCGGGAUGGACGCACCGCUGGUGUACCAGUUGUUCUGCCAAGGGCAUCGCUGGGUAGCUAUGUGCGGGAUGGAUAAGCGCUGAAAGCAUCUAAGCGUGAAGCCAGCUUCAAGAUGAGAUUUCCCAUUCGAAAGAAGUAAGACCCCUGAGAGACGAUCAGGUAGAUAGGCUAGAAGUGGAAGUGGAGUGAUCCAUGGAGCGGACUAGUACUAAUCGGUCGAGGUCUUAACCACAA